RNAcentral lists this ribosomal RNA (678 nucleotides) under Desulfomicrobiaceae bacterium PR2_F02. Its description in RNAcentral is "bacterial SSU rRNA". It matches the Rfam family "Bacterial small subunit ribosomal RNA", at positions 98 to 758 of the family's 1533-position model. The record is from RNAcentral. Lineage: Bacteria; Pseudomonadati; Thermodesulfobacteriota; Desulfovibrionia; Desulfovibrionales; Desulfomicrobiaceae.
GCGCACGGGUGAGUAACGCGUGGGUAAUCUACCCUUGGAUUUGGGAUAACUCCGCGAAAGUGGAGCUAAUACCGGAUAGUCUGGCUUUAAAUAAGAAGUCGGUAAAGGAUGCCUCUGCAUAUGCAUUCGUCCGAGGAUGAGCCCGCGUCUCAUUAGCUAGUUGGUAGGGUAAUGGCCUACCAAGGCAACGAUGAGUAGCUGGUCUGAGAGGAUGAUCAGCCACACUGGAACUGAAACACGGUCCAGACUCCUACGGGAGGCAGCAGUGGGGAAUAUUGCGCAAUGGGCGAAAGCCUGACGCAGCAACGCCGUGUGAGGGAUGAAGGCUUUCGGGUCGUAAACCUCUGUCGGAAGGGAAGAACGGGCAUUGGUCUAAUAGGCCUUUGUUUUGACGGUACCUUUAGAGGAAGCACCGGCUAACUCCGUGCCAGCAGCCGCGGUAAUACGGAGGGUGCAAGCGUUAUUCGGAAUUACUGGGCGUAAAGCGCACGUAGGCGGCCUUGUAAGUCAGGGGUGAAAUCCCACGGCUCAACCGUGGAACUGCCUUUGAAACUGCAGGGCUUGAAUCCUGGAGAGGGUGGCGGAAUUCCUGGUGUAGGAGUGAAAUCCGUAGAUAUCAGGAGGAACACCGGUGGCGAAGGCGGCCACCUGGACAGGUAUUGACGCUGAGGUGCGAAA